CCUACGGGAGGCAGCAGUGAGGAAUAUUGGUCAAUGGCCGGAAGGCUGAACCAGCCAAGCCGCGUGAAGGACGAAGGUGCAAAGCAUUGUAAACUUCUUUUGUCAAGGGACAAAAUCAGGCGCGAGAGCCUGACCGAGGGUACUUGAAGAAAAAGCAUCGGCUCACCCCGUGCCAGCAGCCGCGGUAAUACGGAGGAGGCGAGCGUUAUCCGGAUGUAUUGGGUUGAAAGGGUGCGGAGGCGGACUGUUAAGUCUGCGGUAAAAGCCCGUGGCUCACCCCCGGCGUGCCGUUGAAACUGGCUGUCUUGAGGUGUCGCGUGGUAUGCGGAAUGCGCCGUGUAGCUGU
RNAcentral lists this ribosomal RNA (346 nucleotides) under uncultured bacterium. RNAcentral's name for it is "partial 16S ribosomal RNA". It matches the Rfam family "Bacterial small subunit ribosomal RNA", at positions 338 to 682 of the family's 1533-position model. The record is from RNAcentral.